Molecule: long non-coding RNA, 482 nt
Organism: Lagenorhynchus albirostris (white-beaked dolphin)
Lineage: Eukaryota; Metazoa; Chordata; Mammalia; Artiodactyla; Delphinidae
Exons: 3
Source: RefSeq, a predicted model, not a curated record
UUCAGCUUUCUCCUCUCCUGGCUUCCAAACUCUGCCCAGGUUCUCCAAUGUCCGAAUUCCAAACAUGAUGACCUGCUCUACUGGCAAGACCUCUGAGAGAAAUAGAAUAACAAGCCACAGUCCUGGUGGUUCUUCUUUUCUUCAAGUAAUGGAGCAGAAACACGCGAAGGUGACAGCUACUGGUUUCAGAAAGAUCAUAUGCACUUCUUCGUGUUCAUGUUACUUUUCUCUCUCAAGUGAAAUUGAAGAUUGAGCCAUCUGUAAACUCCGUCCUCCUGUUCAAGGAAGACCCCCAACGCUGCAUGAUAUGGACGGACAAGGCCAGAAGGCCGGGGGCCAAGUAUGACGGAUUAGCCGGGUUCCUUGGGAAACCUAGUCUGAUGAUCACAGAACCUGGAGAAAGGAGAGUCCUUGGGUUCACUGUGAUGUCACCACUGGCAGCUGGGCGAUCGGGAGAGCUGCUCCUCCUCUCAGAACCUUGU